UACGUAGGGUGCAAGCGUUGUCCGGAAUUAUUGGGCGUAAAGAGCUCGUAGGCGGUUUGUUGCGUCGGCUGUGAAAUCCCGAGGCUCAACCUCGGGUCUGCAGUCGAUACGAGCAAACUAGAGUGUUGCAGGGGAGACUGGAAUUCCUGGUGUAGCGGUGAAAUGCGCAGAUAUCAGGAAGAACACCCGUGGCGAAGGCGGCUCUCUGGGACGGUACUGACGCUGAGACGCGAAAGCGUGGGGAGCAAACAGG
RNAcentral lists this ribosomal RNA (253 nucleotides) under uncultured bacterium. Its description in RNAcentral is "partial 16S ribosomal RNA". It matches the Rfam family "Bacterial small subunit ribosomal RNA", at positions 524 to 776 of the family's 1533-position model. The record is from RNAcentral.